GGGUACACUAGCAGCUAGGAUUGCGGCCACAGUUGUUGGGCAACAGGGUACUCGGCUUAGAGUUCAGGAUGCUCUCAAGUUAGCAGAGUCAUUUGCAUUUAGUCUUGAGAAUAACACCAGUAGGUCAGAUGUUGGUUCUGAUCGUAUUUCCAGCCUGUAACAUGGUGCCUCGGGUCAUUUUCAUUUCUCGAUUCUUUUUGUAGACUCUCUCUGUCAAUAGCCUUAUUCCUGUGUACAUUAUAUUAUAAUUAUACACUAUUAUAGUGGUAAUGAAUUUGCCAUGUUCAUCCAAAGUUGUCAGCUGUAAAAUGCUUGUGUAAGAGAAUACCACAUAACCUUGUUAUAAGAUUGAUUCGACUUGCUUUGCAUCCGAC
This 374-nucleotide unclassified non-coding RNA is filed under the name Hevea brasiliensis (rubber tree). The record is from RNAcentral. Lineage: Eukaryota; Viridiplantae; Streptophyta; Magnoliopsida; Malpighiales; Euphorbiaceae.